Molecule: unclassified non-coding RNA, 385 nt
Filed under: soil metagenome
Description: partial contains 5.8S ribosomal RNA, internal transcribed spacer 2, and large subunit ribosomal RNA
Rfam family: 5.8S ribosomal RNA (bases 1-120)
Source: RNAcentral
GAUGAAGAACGUAGCGAAAUGCGAUAAGUAAUGUGAAUUGCAGAAUUCAGUGAAUCAUCGAAUCUUUGAACGCAUCUUGCGCUCCUUGGUAUUCCGAGGAGCAUGCCUGUUUGAGUGUCAUUAAAUUCUCAACUCUCCUAUACUUUGUUGUAAAGGAGGGCUUGGAUUGUGGAGGCUUGCUGGCCGCUUGAUGUGGUCAGCUCCUCUGAAAUGCAUUAGCAGAACUGUUUGCGAUCUGCCACAAGUGUGAGAAAUUAUCUACACUGGCGAGGGGAUUGCUCUCUGUGUUCAGCUUCUAAUCGUCUUCAGUGACAAUUUCUUGAAUGCUUGACCUCAAAUCAGGUAGGACUACCCGCUGAACUUAAGCAUAUCAAUAAGCGGAGGA